RNAcentral lists this ribosomal RNA (497 nucleotides) under uncultured bacterium. RNAcentral's name for it is "partial 16S ribosomal RNA". It matches the Rfam family "Bacterial small subunit ribosomal RNA", at positions 28 to 507 of the family's 1533-position model. The record is from RNAcentral.
GACGAACGCUGGCGGCGUGCCUAAUACAUGCAAGUUGAGCGCUGAAGGUUGGUACUUGUACCAACUGGAUGAGCAGCGAACGGGUGAGUAACGCGUGGGGAAUCUGCCUUUGAGCGGGGGACAACAUUUGGAAACGAAUGCUAAUACCGCAUAACAACUUUAAACACAAGUUUUAAGUUUGAAAGAUGCAAUUGCAUCACUCAAAGAUGAUCCCGCGUUGUAUUAGCUAGUUGGUGGGCUAAAGGCUCACCAAGGCGAUGAUACAUAGCCGACCUGAGAGGGUGAUCGGCCACAUUGGGACUGGGACACGGCCCAAACUCCUACGGGAGGCAGCAGUAGGGGAUCUUCGGCAAUGGACGAAAGUCUGACCGAGCAACGCCGCGUGAGUGAAGAAGGUUUUCGGAUCGUAAAACUCUGUUGGUAGAGAAGAACGUGGGUGAGAGUGGAAAGCUCAUCAAGUGACGGUAACUACCCAGAAAGGGACGGCUAACUACGUG